AUGCAUUAUUAAUUACUAGGGGAGGCUAGAGAUAGCAAGCCAGUAAUUAGUAAUAGGCUCUUUUCGCCAAGAGAUUGGGUUUAGGGUAGACUAAGAAAGUUUGCAUGACAAUAUGAUAAAUAAGCAAAGUAGAUAAGAAGAGUAGAUAUAAGAGGGUGGAUAAGAUGAAAUUGUAAACCCCAACAACUCCAUUCAUCCAUAGUUUCUUCUAGCCAAUUGAUUCACUGCAUCUUGCAUGUUUAAUUUCAUCUUGCAUAC
RNAcentral lists this long non-coding RNA (258 nucleotides) under Vigna radiata. RNAcentral's name for it is "long non-coding RNA (VRAD_LNC013030)". Lineage: Eukaryota; Viridiplantae; Streptophyta; Magnoliopsida; Fabales; Fabaceae. The record is from RNAcentral.